AUCCCGUGGGAGCAGGCAGCUAGUGGGCUGGGUGCCUGAAGACCUACGCAGUUAGCAGGCUGAUUCAUGCCUUCAGCAUCAGAGAAAGGAACAGCCCUUCAGUCAGUACCAGCACAAUGCAGACGCAAGUCUCUCACCACCAACAUCACUGACCUCCUCCUUAAGGCCGGAAUAAACUUACGCAAAUACAUUACACCGCGUCAACUGCAGAGAAGGAUGGUCCUCCCCUUCCUCCUCUGAGGUGCCUCCACUGGCCGAUACAUCUUCAUUCCAGUCUAAUCCC
This 283-nucleotide long non-coding RNA is filed under the name Salmo salar (Atlantic salmon). Its description in RNAcentral is "lncRNA (ENSSSAG00000093326.1, ENSSSAG00020062556.1)". Lineage: Eukaryota; Metazoa; Chordata; Actinopteri; Salmoniformes; Salmonidae. The record is from RNAcentral.